This is a long non-coding RNA of Xiphophorus hellerii (green swordtail), 531 nucleotides long. RefSeq lists it as uncharacterized. Lineage: Eukaryota; Metazoa; Chordata; Actinopteri; Cyprinodontiformes; Poeciliidae. The transcript has 2 exons. The record is from RefSeq and is a predicted model, not a curated record.
CGCUGCAGUCCCAAACUCUCCUGUGACCGAAUCCACGGCUCUGAGCUGCAGCCACAACAUUUACAGUCACAACAAGAUGGAGCAAAGAGUCUCCUGGCAGCAACGAGCUGGAAUGUACUCCUCUACAUUGGCCAUAACGGUGGAUCCGUGGGUCACCUGAAGGGCGAAGGACUCCGUCUUCACCACUCUCUUCAGGAUCACGAAGCCGUCGGGAGUCACGUUGACGUAGCUGCUGUACUGAACCUCAUACUUCAUGUCCGGGUUCAGACCCUGACACCAAAAACACCAAACAAAGGCAUUUAUUAUCCAUGAAACAUCAGGAUUUAACUAGACUGUAAAUUUAAUUUGUGGGCAAGAAGGAUCUCCUGUAGCAGUCUGUAUCACCGUGGUUUUGAGAAAGCCUCUGACUGAAGACACUAUACACUGCAUCACUCUCUCCUGUAUCACUUUCUUUUUUAAGAGUUUAUCAAAUUGUGUCAAUUUAUAAAAAUGGAAUAAACAACAAAUAAAGCUAAAAUAAAACUAGCUACA